Molecule: long non-coding RNA, 8273 nt
Filed under: Nicotiana tabacum (common tobacco)
Lineage: Eukaryota; Viridiplantae; Streptophyta; Magnoliopsida; Solanales; Solanaceae
Description: long non-coding RNA (NTAB_LNC001339)
Source: RNAcentral
AUCCUAGGAGAAAAUUCAUCACACUAGGUCCAUUUCUUUUGUUAACUUAUGAGAAAGAUUCAUCACACUAAGACUUUGAUCCUAGGAGAAAAUUCAUCAAACUAGGUCAUUUUUUUUUGUUAUCUUAGGAGAAAGAUUCAUCAGACUAAGAUUUUGAUCCUAGGAGAAAGUUUAUCAGACUAGGUUUCUUUUCCUUCUUUUUUUGUAUCUUAGGAGAAAGAUUCAUCAGACUAAGAUUUCUAUCAUAUGAGAAAGUUCAUCAGACUAGAUUUUCUAUCUUAGGAGACAGACUCAUCAGACUAAGAUUUUUAUUAGGAGGAAAAUCCAUCAGACUAGGACUUUUUAUCCUAGGAGAAAAAAAAAUGGGAAGAUCAACGACGAGAUUUUAUGCACAAUAGCAAGGCAAAUAAAGGCAAAGAUUUGAGAAACUUCCCUUUGUCGGCUCUUCUCCUCUUUUUUUUGAACCACUUUCCUUGCACUGCUUUGUUCCUGUUUAAACAAAGAAAAUUUUUGUCAGAUUCAAAAGUGGUGGUUGGCUUGUGGCCUUGAGUCUUGAGCAGCUUGGCUUUUGCUCGAUCAGCCUGAGUCGAUCUCAAGAAACUUUUGUUCUGCACCACCUCUGAUUGUUUCACACCCAGUACCAUUUGUAUUUGUAACUCAAAUAGCCUUAUCCCAACUGGAGAUCUUUGCUUAGGUGACCUUUUUUGAUAUCUUGAAUGACUUCCUGCUUUUGAGUAAUUUGUUUGUUAGAGAGAAUCACCAGUUAUCUUUGCUUGCGCCAAAUAGGCUGACAAGAAUCUUUUGCGGGAGGCUUUUCUUGAAUCCUCAAGGCACAUUGACAGUAACAACCGAGUGUGCUGGCCAAAUUUACUUUGUGCAACUGAAAAUCUGGUAGCAGAUUUUGAAAUCUUUUCUUGCUUGUUUUGACAAGGACUGACUCGGAGUGAAGGACACAAUGAUGCAAAGAAACAAGUAUUAACAAGAAAUGCCCAUGUCGGAAGGACAGAAGGAAGAGUUUUUUUUCCUUUUCUAUUUUUUUCUUUGUUUUUUUCCCAAUAACUAGCCUUAAUAGUCAUGACAUGUAUUUUGGACUCAAUGGCCUGAUCUAUCAAACUAAUCCAAUUUUCCCUUUUGCCAUUCUUAUGACCUUUGAAGUCGGGCUUGUUUGUGUCAAUCUUUCGCAUUAUCUUCACGACUCACUUUCGACUAGUGGUGCCCCGAGGGAUUUUCACCAAUAAAUCUCUUUCAUUUGUUCAUCUCUGCUUACUGUCGUCUUACAAUGCCCGUGAGAGUUUUCACUAGUAAGACUCUCUCAUUUUUUUUCUUUUUCUCCAUUGAUUUCUUGAGCAACUUAACAGUAUUCUAUGUCGUGUGACAACCAUUGCUCAUUGCAUGCUUCUCUUUGCAUUUUUUGAAGUCAUAUCGGGAGGUCGUUAUUUGGAAUGAUUUUGGAUAGGGUUGAAAAGAAAGGACGUUAUGAUGACUCGAAAUAGACUCAAAAUAAAAGGGGGUUAUAGACUUACAACUUCUUGGAAUCGACUCUUUCAAAAGUGAAAUAAAAUCUUUGCCCCAGUUUCAGCUAUUGGGGAUUUUUUGGAAUUUUUUUUUGAAUUCUUAUUUGGUUAGACCGAACCGUGAAGCUUCCUACGUAUCCUUUUUUAAAGAAUCAGGUCGAACGUAGUUCAAACAUCUGACCUAACUAUUUUUUUUUCAUNNNNNNNNNNNNNNNNNNNNNNNNNNNNNNNNNNNNNNNNNNNNNNNNNNNNNNNNNNNNNNNNNNNNNNNNNNNNNNNNNNNNNNNNNNNNNNNNNNNNNNNNNNNNNNNNNNNNNNNNNNNNNNNNNNNNNNNNNNNCUUUCUCUUUUUUCUUUUUUUUUUCGCUUUUUUCUCUUUUUUUUUUCAAAACAAGUUGCCCCAACUUUUAUUUUCUGGGGACAUGGACCUUUGAGUAUUUUUUUUUUCUUUUUCGCUUUUUUUUCUUUCCUUUUUUUUUUCAAAACAAGUUGCCCCAACUUUUAUUUUCUGGGGACAUGGACCUUUGACUUUUUUUUUCUUUUUUUUGAACCUUUCUAAGAGUUGCCCCAGUUUAUACUCUUGGGGAAUAGACUUCUCUUUUUUUUGCAUCAUUUUUCAUUUUUUUAUUGGACUUUUAACUCUAAACUUGAUUCCAAAAGAGGGUGGUCAAAGAAAAUAACACAGGCUCAAAAUGGGUAACAAAGGGUAUAAAGUGUUUGGUAGUAGAAAGAGGGCCUCCCAGCCUCGAGAAUGCCAAACAUAUUAUCUUUUCGCGAUCACAACAUUGACGAACAUGUCUGUCUUCUUGGUGUGUCAUGGUUACAAGGCACUUUCCAUCCCUUACUGCCAAACUUUCCAACAGACUUCAAUUGAUUUUUCCUCAACCCGAUCUUCAUAAUGAUUUUGAAGGUAAAGAUUCUUAACCUUCACAGGUCUGACUAUUCUAGUUCCACUUGAAUUUUACUCGGGCUUAAUUCCAUGGUAUUUCAACUCUUUUUCAUCCUCAAAAGUGCCUUUUCCUCAGUUGUCCAAUUCAAGCUUAAAUCAAUUUUCUAAGAUCUGGCCAAAAAUUCCGCAUGCAUGUCAUAUCACUAAAACUAGCGGGAAAAGAACUGAGCAUGGAAGGACACAAAAUGAAAAACUCUAUUUUAUUGAGUAAACAACAAGACAAAUAACCUAAAAUCUGAGUUACAACCCUAAAAUAACCCGGCUAAUGAAAAUAGCAACAAAACCAGACAUAUAAGACUCACACAAACGAAAUAGAGUGAUAGAAGGGUUUGACUCAAUAAAACAAAUAAAAUCUGGAUCUCAACCCUGAAAUAACCCAGAAAAUAGAAAAAACAUCAAAACAAGCUACCAAGAUUCCUUCCUAAUGAGGAGAGAAUGACUUUUUCAAUUGCUAAGCUUGACAUUUAGCCACAAAUUUGCUCAUCAGAAUCACCAUGGCCUUCUCCAAUUUCAGUCGGCAAGUUCCCAAGAGGAUUUUUAUUUUCCAUGUCACCACGCAUCAUCCCCACAGAGUGUGCAUCAUCAUGUGGAGGUAAAAGAUUCUGUGUGAUGUUCUAGGUGUCAUUGUCUUGGAUCACAAUUAGUUAUUCCUGGAUCAUCCUUUCUAUUUCUCUUUUCAAAUUCCGACAGCUUUCAACAUCGUGCCCUUGGGCAUUGGAAUGGUAUUCACACCUUUUAGAAGGGUCAAAGCUUUUUGCACGUGGGUCCAAAUGAUUUGGAGGAAUAGGUGCAAUCAUGUCAUAAUGCUUUAAUUUCUCAAACAAGCUUGCAUAAGACUCUCAUAUUGGUGUAAAAUUAUAUNNNNNNNNNNNNNNNNNNNNNNNNNNNNNNNNNNNNNNNNNNNNNNNNNNNNNNNNNNNNNNNNNNNNNNNNNNNNNNNNNNNNNNNNNNNNNNNNNNNNNNNNNNNNNNNNNNNNNNNNNNNNNNNNNNNNNNNNNNNNNNNNNNNNNNNNNNNNNNNNNNNNNNNNNNNNNNNAGCAAAAGAGUAUUGUGGGUUUUGAGGUGGGUAAUAGUGCUCAGGAAAAUCAUCGAAAAUUAUACAAGGCUGGUCAUACCUUCAAGAUGUUCUCUUAGGACCUCUUCUCAACCCUGAUGUCAUCAUGAUUUCCUCCUCCUUCUCAUUCAUGGCACAAAAAUUACUAGAUUCAAUUUGGACUGCCUGAGUUGCAGCUUUGAGAGCUGCUUGACUUAUAAUUCUGCAUGUCUUAAGGUCAUUCUCUAUCAUUUCUCCCAUUUUGAUUGCUUCCGAGAAAGAUUUGCCAAUUGCGGACAUCAUGUUUUGAAAGUAAUCUGGCUCUUGAGCAUGGAGGAAGAUAGUGAUUAGCUUAUGGUCAUCCAUGGGUGGCUUAACUCUAGCCGCUUGCUCUCUCCAUUUAAUGGCAUAUUCCCUGAAACUUUCAGUUAGUUAUUUCUUCAUGUUAGAAAGGGAAUUGCGGUCUAGGGCAAUGUCGAUGUUGUAUUGGAACUGUUUGACAAAGGCCUGAGCCAUGUCAUCCUAGACAUACCAGCGAGAUGUGUCUUGAUCCAUAAACUAUUCGGAGGCUACUCCUGUAAGGCUUUCCCCAAAAUAAGCCAUCAAUAAUACUUCCUUUCCUCCCCCACCUCUUAGUUGAUUGCAAUACCUUUUCAGGUGGGCUAUGGGGUCUCCAUGUCCAUCAUACUUUUCAAAUUUGGAAGUCUUGAAACCAGGUGGCAAGUGGACAUCGGGGAACAUACAUAAAUCCUUGAAGGCAAUGCUCUUCUGACCAGCCAACCCUUGUAUGUUUUUCAACUGUUGUUCUAAGUUUUUCACUCUUUGGGUCAUUUCUUCCUAUGCCAUCUUUCGGGCAGGCUUUCAAUGUUUGCAGGAAGAUCAAACAAGUACGAGUGGUACUCAGGAGAGUGGUACUACUCUUGUUGGGUAGCAAAUUGUGACUCAUGAGUUUUCUUCUGCACCACCGUCGGUUGUGGGAUAGUGAAGACGGGCAUAACAGUAGUGGUUGUCUGAUUGGUUGUCAAUGGAAAACUUUGGGAGCAUGCAACAUAAGUUCCAGUUGUAGUCGUACAGUUGGGAUAAGGACUGAACCCAGGUGGAUAGGAUUGAUCAGACAAUGAGGUCGGAAUGGCAGUAGUCGAGAUAGGUGUGAACUCUGGGAAACCAUGAGAAGAAAAAGGCGGUCCUUGUCCAUUGGCCCAUGCUUGACACAUUUCAGUCAUUUUUUAUUUCAGUAUUCUAUUUUCCUCAACCAUAGUAGACUCUUGUUGAACCCUCUGACUCUGAGUCUCUUGAGCAUUUGUAAUAGCUUCGAUGUCGGUUGUCAAUGACAUUUUCCCUUGGAGCUUGUGUUGCCAGCCUACCACAAACCAACCACCUUAAACUUUAUUCACAAUUCAAAACAAGAGACACGUUAGAAUGGACUCAGUCAGUCCUUAUUGUUAUCAUUCUUUUUCAUUUUUUUUAAUUUUUCAUUUUAUCAUUUUUUUUAUUUUUUUAGCGGUUGAUCGAACCUGAUGUGGGUUGCGUACGUAUCAUGUGGGAACAUGAAUCAGAUCUUGCGUAGUUCGGGAAGAUUAAGAAUAAAGGAAAUAAACUAAAUCUUUUUUUUAGACUUUGAAUUUCUUUUCUUUUUAAAUUUUUGAAAGAAAGACUUAUAAAGAAGAAAGAAAAUAUUUUUUGAUUUAGAUUUUUUUUUUUGGAAUUUCGAAAGAAAAACUUCUAAAGAAGAAAGAAAAUACAUUUGGAUUUUUGGACUUUUAUGUUAAAAUUAUGAAAGAAAGACUUCUAAAGAAAAUAUUUUUGAAUCUUGAAUUUUCUUUUCUACUUUCGAAAUAAAAACUUCAAAAGAAGAAUGAAAAUAUUUUUGGACUUUUUAGAAGAAAUUAAAAGAAAAUAUUUUUGGAUUUUUUGAAAAUUGGGGCCUUAAAGAACGACUUUUCUAAAUAAUAAAGUAAAGGAAAAUAUUUUUGGGUUUUUAAAAAUUGGGGGUCGGAACCGAUGAGAUUUUCCUACGUAUCUCACAUCCGGUGGGCAUCAGACUCGCAUAGUUCGGUAAAUUUUGACGGAACAUGGAAACAUGGUCCUUGAAAAUUUUGGCUCAUUUUGAAAUGACUUUUCUUUUUUUUUUUCCAGAAUUUCGGAAGAGUUUCAAGAUUUUCAAAUACCUAUCUUACUCUUGUUUUUUCUCUUGAUUUUCUUUUCCUAGCCAAUCGACAUGCAAGCCGAAACAACAAAAUGUUCACAUAGAACGUAUGAUGCAUCAGGAUGAUAUGUUAUUUUGGGUAUACCUGUCCUAGAUAGACUCAACCCCUGUGUUGAGUCCCCAAUAUCAAAUGCACGUGAUGCAAAUAAACGUUCCUACUUGGGAUCCGGCAUGAGGUUACGUUAUUCUAAGUUUAAACCUGGGGUUGUGUUCUAAACCUGGCUUACCCGAGUGGACAACUAGAGCAGAAGAGGGGGCAACGUACCGGGAGCACGAAAGUCUACCCGGCCAUGUUGCUGGCCCAACCUCAUUAUUUUUGGCAUGACUUAUAACAUAAAAAGUGGACCACGCGAACGUGUGCACCGUUUUUUAGAAGACUGAGAAGGGAGGCGUAGGGAGAUAGUUUAAUACAGUUCAAGUAAUAUCAAAGCGGUAAAUAAACGGCAAUUACCACACUAGGUCCACAAAAUACAGUAAUAUCAACAAUAAAUAAAACCAAGUAAAAAUCAUAUUAACAAGCUCGAAUUCUUGAACCCUGAACCAAAAAUUCUGGGUUCUCGAACCUAGCAGAGUUGCCAGAGCUGUCACACCUCCUUUUUCUACCCCGGAAGGGGAUAUAAGGGAGUUUUUCUAAUUAAAGUGGCAAUAAUCGAAAUGGGUUUAAUUAUUCAAUUCAGAGUCGCCAUUUGGGAUAAUUUAUGGUGUCCUAAGUCACCGGUUUGUUUUUAAAUCCCAUAUCAAGGAAAUUUGACUCUUAUUUAUGGUCUGCGAUAUCAAAAGAUCGAGUAAGGAAUUCUGUUAAUCCGGGAAAAGGUGUUAGGCAUUCCCGAGAUCCGUGGUUUUAACACGGUCACUUAGAAAUUUAUACUUGGCUUAUUUUAUCUAAUUAGCCAUUUUAGGACCUAUGUUUAUUUUACCGCUACUAAUCACUUGGUUACCCCUAUCUAAAGAAUUAACUUAAGACGAGUUACAAGUACGUAUACUCGUUUAGUUUGGUGCGUCAAAAUCAUGUCACGCGUACGUGUACACAAUUAAUAACACUUUAUUAUUAUUAAGAAAGUUUGGCCGAAGUUGCGCGAACGCAUACCUCGAUUUAUUUUGAAAAUCAUAAAUAUGUCAUGCGAACGUGUACACAAUCACGAUGAUAGAUUAAGUCACGCCUAAAGCAUUUCUACAAAUAUUUAUUAGUUAUUCUUCCUAAACUUUGAGAUUAUUGUAAGGUAAGAGUUAUGAAAUAAAUUUGUGGAGAUGGGUAUAUGAUUACGACGUUAUUGGGCUUGACAAAUUUAUUAUUUUGCCCAAACUAGUUCAACUCAAUACUUUUAAGUGUAAAAGGUUCACCACUUUUCUAUUCUUCAGUCACUCCCCAUGGCCCACAAAUUUUCACCUACAACCCAAUUUUAACUUCACUCUCUCUCAAAAAUCCAGCAUACAAAAUAAUUCUCAAAGAGAAAACUUCUAACAAGCAACUUAAACAAAUGCAUUAGAUUAAGAAAAAAGCCACUAACAUAAUAUUAAUCAUUGACAAAUCACCUAAUAGAAUUAAACUUAAUGCCAUCCUCUGUUUCUAUUCAAAAUUUAAUUAUAUAAACUUAGGAACAACUCAAUAUUGAUUACACAAAUUAAAUAACAAAACUCAACAUUAAAUACACAAACUUAAUAACCAAACUCAACAUUACACACCCAUUAACACAAGACGGCAAAUUCAAAUAACAAAUAUGAACCAUUUAAUCAGUGACAAGCAAUUAUAGAAGAAGAAAGAUCAAUCCUAUUCGUGAAGAAUAAAGAAAAAUAAGCUGACCUUUAUGCUAAACAAUUUGAUGUCGAACACUGUUGAAAUUUCACAGCCAAAGAAACCUUGAAACAGAGCCUCUAAACUACACCUCGCUGGCGACCUCAAAACUCGAUUGAAGAUGGUGUUUUAAUGGUGUUUUGGAGGCAUUUUUGCUGGUUAGAGGUGCUGAGUUUUGGAAUUUUUUGGGGGCAUGUUUUUGUGGUUAAGAGCUGCGAACAUGGCCAGCCUUCAUGGCUGUUUUGAGGGGAGGAAAACAGAGGUGUUUAGAUAGUGUUGAGGCUGUUGAUUUGGUGGUGAAAACAGAGGUUCAUGGCUGCAUUUUCAGGCAUAUUUUCAGCUCUCUUUUUGGAGUUUUGAGCAGCUUUUCUAUGGCUUUUCACGGAGAUUCAAGGAGCUUUUUUAUAUGGUUUAAAUGGAAGAAAGAUUAGUGAUUGAUGAUGAGGAAGAAGGGAAGAAGCGAGAGAUAUGGUGCUUUGUUUUUUUUUCAAUUUGUGCCUUCCCCCUCCCUCUGUUUUUUUGCUUCCUCCUCAGCUCUGUUUUUAGCCUUUUCUAUUCCCCAAUUUUUGCUAGCCUCUCUUUUUCGUUUUUUCCAGAUCCAGUUUCAUUUUUUUUUUGUUUUGUUUUUGCCCCAAUCCCUAUACGUGAGUUUGUGUAUAUAUUCAUUUGUUUUGGCAGGAAAGAGAAUUUCCCAGAAAGAUCGUGGGGCCUCUUGACAAAAAAACGUGAGUGGAAAUUCAAUAGGGGUGCAUGUGAGUGAAAUGUGAGAUUGUGCAAAAG